GUCCGAUUAGCUAGUUGGUGGGGUAACGGCCCACCAAGGUUCCGAUCGGUAGCUGUUCUGAGAGGAAGAUCAGCCACACUGGGACUGAGACACGGCCCAGACUCCUACGGGAGGCAGCAGUUGGGAAUCUUGGACAAUGGGGGAAACCCUGAUCCAGCUAUGCCGCGUGAGUGAUGAAGGCCUUCGGGUUGUAAAACUCUUUCGCGCACGACGAUAAUGACGGUAGUGCGAGAAGAAGCUCCGGCUAACUUCGUGCCAGCAGCCGCGGUAAUACGAAGGGGGCUAGCGUGUUCGGAAUUACUGGGCGUAAAGCGCGCGCAGGCGGCUAUCCAAGUCAGUGGUGAAAGCCCGGCGCUCAACUCCGGAACUGCCAUUGAAACUGUUUAGCUUGAGUAUGAGAGAGGUGAGUGGAAUUCCCAGUGUAGAGGUGAAAUUCGUAGAUAUUGGGAAGAACACCGGUGGCGAAGGCGGCUCACUGGCUCAUUACUUACGCUCAGGCGCGACAGCGUGGGGAUCA
This 517-nucleotide ribosomal RNA is filed under the name uncultured bacterium. RNAcentral describes it as "bacterial SSU rRNA". It matches the Rfam family "Bacterial small subunit ribosomal RNA", at positions 235 to 770 of the family's 1533-position model. The record is from RNAcentral.